RNAcentral lists this long non-coding RNA (639 nucleotides) under Olea europaea (common olive). RNAcentral's name for it is "long non-coding RNA (OEUR_LNC011998)". Lineage: Eukaryota; Viridiplantae; Streptophyta; Magnoliopsida; Lamiales; Oleaceae. The record is from RNAcentral.
UCAUCUUCACAAUCUUCCUAAGAUUGCUUACCACUAUCUGCAUCCUCAACCAUCUCACUCUCUUUAUCAGAUUUACUCCUAGUCCUAAUAGUGAAGGCCACAUAAUUUCCAUUCUCAUCCUAAGUGAACCUCUUACUUUGAAUAUCUGAGUUAGACUCGUCAUCAGUGAGAGUAACAUUCAUAGUUUUAUCCUUAUUUUUCUUAAUGUUAGAGCUUUCACUCCUAUAAUGGUCAAAACUAUGACACUUAUGACAUCUCACAUAUUGAGAUCUCUUUCUAGACUCACUGGGAUCACCUCUCUGUAUCUCUUGAGGCUUUAUCUUAUUUCUAAACAUUUUGAAAUUUUUUUUAGCAAAACAAGUUAUAUCAUUAUUCGGUGACUCCGAAUUAGAAUACUCAUUAAUGUUACCCCUAAGAAUAUUCAAAGCCAAAGACUUAUCUUUUGUAAGUUUAGCUAAUGUUAGUUCAUAGGUCUGUAGAUAUCUAACCAACACUUCAACCUUAAUAGCAUCUAGUCUUUACUCUCCUCUAUAGCUGCAAUUUUAGACCUAAAUAUCUCGGAUAAAGAUCUAAGGAUCCAACAAUCUUGGUUGAAAGCUACUUCUACAACUUGAUUUAUUACCAACCCCUCACCCUCAA